This 174-nucleotide unclassified non-coding RNA is filed under the name uncultured fungus. RNAcentral's name for it is "sequence contains ITS1, 5.8S rRNA gene". The record is from RNAcentral. Lineage: Eukaryota; Fungi.
CCGAGAAGUUUGGGGCUUAGUCUUUGCGGACGGCCCUGACCUCACAACCUGUGCCCGACCCCCUCUGCUGCCUCGGCGGUCGCCCCUCCCGCUUCGGCGGGGGGCCCGCCAGAGGACAAGCCAAAACUCAUCAUGAACGCUUGCCGUCUAGACAUACAAAAUACAAACCAAAAA